UUUUAUUAUGGAGAGAUGAGCAAUAAAUGUGAACUUGAGUGGUUUGAUGGAGAUGGAUUAAAAAAUGGAUGAAGUGCUAGUGUCUGGUCGUGGCAUGGUUUUAGUUAGUAACAAUGGAGAAGUGGUGGUUGUUGGAUGGAGAAGACAACAACAAAUAAAUAAAUAACAAAUAAAUAAAAAAGGAUAAAAAAAGUGGAUGACGUGGCCUAAUCAUAGAGAGUGUGAGGAAU
Molecule: long non-coding RNA, 230 nt
Filed under: Trifolium pratense (red clover)
Lineage: Eukaryota; Viridiplantae; Streptophyta; Magnoliopsida; Fabales; Fabaceae
Description: long non-coding RNA (TPRA_LNC011296)
Source: RNAcentral